RNAcentral lists this transfer RNA (80 nucleotides) under Thermodesulfovibrio yellowstonii DSM 11347. RNAcentral's name for it is "tRNA-Pro". It matches the Rfam family "tRNA". Rfam says of the family: Transfer RNA (tRNA) molecules are approximately 80 nucleotides in length. The record is from RNAcentral. Lineage: Bacteria; Pseudomonadati; Nitrospirota; Thermodesulfovibrionia; Thermodesulfovibrionales; Thermodesulfovibrionaceae.
UCGGGGCGUAGCGCAGCUUGGAUAGCGCACCUGCCUUGGGAGCAGGGGGUCGGUGGUUCAAAUCCACUCGCCCCGAUAAG